RNAcentral lists this long non-coding RNA (1358 nucleotides) under Salvia miltiorrhiza (redroot sage). RNAcentral's name for it is "long non-coding RNA (SMIL_LNC006236)". The record is from RNAcentral. Lineage: Eukaryota; Viridiplantae; Streptophyta; Magnoliopsida; Lamiales; Lamiaceae.
GCCACCAAUCUUGCAAUAAUAUCUGUGAGAGGAUCACAUGGUAAGAUGAGUGAGCAGUUAUAAAAUGUUGGAGACUGAGACAGCAUGGAAUCUAGGUCACCAAUCAAAUAAAGAUCCCUUUGUUUCAUGAAGAUUUGAUAAGAAUAAAUGAAAGAAGUGUAUAUGUAGUAGACGCUUAUAGAGUCAACAAGAGAAUGUGAUACAAAGAAUCCUCAUAGUUAGUGUGCGUGUGUUGGCCAAGCGGUACGGAGUUAAUGCUUGAGGUCAAAGGUAUUGGUUCGAUUAAUACUGUUAAUUUAUCAGAGAAAAAAAGGAAAAGAAAAGAAAGAAUCCUCAUAUUAGUGCAUAAGUAACUCUACAUAACAUCACCUUUGGCCUUUGGCUACUAUAUUCAAAAUUUAAUUUGGGUCUCCCCUCUUUCCUAACUAAAUCCUCAAAAAGUGGGAAUGCACACUCAAAGAACAAGCACCAACUACAUCCCUGAUCUGACCAGAUUAAACAAAUGAACUGCUACAUCAACCACAAGAGUAGAUGGCUACAAUGACAUAUCUUGCCAAUGACAUAUCUUGCCAACUUUCUUCCAGAAGCUGCUUCUGCAGAUUGAACCAGCUUUGCUUCCUCGUAUCUUUUGCUAUCCGGGAAGCUGCCUCUGUGGGAGCGUUUACUUUGCAUGAUUGAUAAGAUGCAUGUUUGAGUAUUUUUAUCCUCAAGAGUAGGAUUUCUCCAAUCUCAUCCUUUGAAUGGGAUAUGAAUCAAACAGAAUUAACUUAAAUGAUAAAAAUAAUCAAGGGCCUUGGGAUAUCCCACAGUUUCAAUCCAUCAAAGUAAACAAGGGAUUAACCUUCAAAGUAAACGUCCCCUGUGUGAAUGGUAAGAAAGAGAGCUCAAAAAAUGGAAAAAUCACUUGCUUGGUACAUUUUUGCCUUUGUAAAAGAAACCUAACCAACAUUUAUCUUCUAAGGGUGUGUUUACUUUGAUAGAAAAUGUUAGAAAAAAUAUAUUUUCCAUCAUUUUCACAUGUUUCCUAUGAUGGAUAAUUUUCUCCGAUCAGACUGUAAAAUUUAUUCGGGCAGCCCAUUUUCACUCAUUUUCUCACAAAUGUUGGAUAAUAUUAUCCUAUUGGGAGGGUGUGAAAAUUAUUUCCAGCAUUUCAAUUUGUUUAUCCAUCUAUUUCUAUCAAAGUAAACACAUGAUAAAAAAAAGGAGAAAAAGAUAAUAUUACCUCAACUUUUCUUAUCCAUCCUUUUCAAAUGAAAAUUUUACAACCAAAGUAAACACACCCUAAAACUCAAAAGAGCAGUAUCACAGUAGAACCAGAAAAUAAAAAAUUUCCAAGUACACCGACACUUUGUUACAGC